Phalaenopsis equestris is the source of this 2908-nucleotide long non-coding RNA. RefSeq lists it as uncharacterized. The transcript is spliced from 4 exons. Lineage: Eukaryota; Viridiplantae; Streptophyta; Magnoliopsida; Asparagales; Orchidaceae. The record is from RefSeq and is a predicted model, not a curated record.
GCGGUCGCGGUAACUGUUUAGGGCCGUUCCUGCCAAAUAGCCUAAUAUUUCGGGCGACGGUUAGGAGGAUCCUUACUAAGGCACAGGUCCCAUCUUCUUCCAUUCAGUCACAAAUUGCUGAGUCACCUCUUGCAGGAGCACAACAAAAUUCGCCUGCUUCAAAUCCUGCUUGCAUUGCAACAUCAACAGAGGGAGGACCAUGUAGUAAUGUUUCUGUUCUUGUUACUGACUCUUCAAAUAUAAAUUCUGGAUGGGCAGAAACAUUAACUGUAUCGCCUCCCAUGAGCUCACCAACUCAAAGGGCUAUUCAUGGUAAUGCGAGUGACUCAUUACAAGAUCAUGUUCCGGCAACAUUCGUUUCCUCACAUGUCUAUGUUGUCCCUCCACCUUCUUUCUCUUACAGUGUAUUUCCUAGGCGAACUCUACCUCUGGGGUUCCUCAACAAACUUCAUCUUCUCCUGUUAGUUUUGUUACUUGUGCUAAUUUUUUUUAGGCUUUGUAUUUUGCGCUUAACAUUCUCCAACUAAUUUGUUUGGUUUCAUUUUUUGUGUGGGCUUUACUAUCAACUCCAUAAAUGUCUCCAGCUGCUCUACAACUGCCAGUUUUUGGGCAGUCUUUAGGAAAUUGACUGUCUUUUUCAUACAAUGUUGUUACACUAUCCAUGCUAGCCCUGCUUCUGGUCAGCAGUUUCAACCCGCUGUUGUAAUUCUCAAGUGCUUUUAAUACUUCAUAUGGUACCUUUCUUUGGUUCAAUAUGGAUGAAUAUAUUUGCUUUUGACGGAAUCAUCUGUCUCAACUUUUUAUAUACAUGUCUUGCCGUUAGGGGAAUAAUCAAUGUCCGCUGUCGAUUGAAAAUUAUGUCCCAACUUUGCCACUAUUGGCUACUGUAUGUUUGCAGCCUGCAGUACCCCGUCAAUCUAUUUGUCCUAAUGCAUCCAUUUCUGCAACCGUGCCACAGAAUUUUCCACCAUCCAUUCAAUUGUCAGUUCCCCCUCCCAAGGGCCAGCUAUCGCUUUCAACAAAAAUUUUCUUUGGUCGGGCCAACAACAAUGUAGGCUUCUGUUAAGACCUUGCCAUGCACAUUUUGUUUCUUUAAAUUUUAUGUGGUUUAAAUACUAUUCUUUUUUCCUUAUAAAUCCAUUGUUACUCAUUUUCUUUUUUGACUGAAAGUUGAUCUUCCAUUUCUAUGUUUGCAGUGCACCUCUAAGGCAAUGCCUUUUGAUUCUGGCAUAACUUCCGUAUCGACUAGUUUAAAUCCAAAGUUUUCACGUGAUAUGCAUGCAAGUUCAUCCAUAAGCUUGACAAUCUCUCCUGUUUCUAAUGUGUCAAGCAUGUUGCCACCAACUAGUUGUUUGAUAAAUGAUCAUAUUCCAAUGUGUUAGAUAGGGCUCAUAUACCAUAGAGGGACAGAUUUUGGAGCGGAGCUGAAGAUUCUGUCUAAAUCAGGGGAGUUUCCUUAUGUGUGUUGGGGGUGAGGGAUAAGGGUAAUUUGGUAAUUACAUAUUGUACUCUAGGGUUUUCUAGGAUUAUAAAUAAGCUUGUAUGUAACCCUAGGUGUCAUCCCAUAUUCUGUAUACUGUACUUUUUUCUGGAUUAGUGGAAAAGCCGCCGCUCUGCUUCCGAGGACGUAGGCAUCUUUGACGAACCUCGUUAAAUUUCUUUUUGUUCUUCUGGAUUUGUGUAGAUUACUGUUUUUCUUCGCCCUAAUUUCUCAACACAAUGGUUGGAACUUUUAUGGGCAAUAAUCUGCAUAAGAACACCUAAUCCUGCAGCUGUUCAACCAUCAAAGCUUGGGUCUUCGCCAGUAACAAUGAGAUCCGUUCAACAUAAUCAAGUAAUUGCACAUUCAAGUCAGUCUUCUAUUACAAAUCCAACUCCACAGAAUGUACCUCAACAAUUUAUCCAAAUUUACCACCAGUACCUGUCCAGAUGCCACCUCCUCCAGCUCAUUUGCUGCCUUCUCAGGCUACUGGUUUACAAUGUCUUACCCUGUCCCAGUAUCCAACUGUGCUUCCUGGUCCUUGCCCUUUCUCAGUGAGGGGCAUCCCACCACCCUCUGUUCCUUCUCUUGAUGGAUGACUUGGCGUUUUCCCUGGAGUCAUCCUUCCUGUAAGUAAUACUGGAGCAAGAUCAUCACCUCAUGAUGCUGCAUUUGAAAAGGAGACUAAUGAUUCUCAGGAGGAUGGUAACAAUAAAAGUUAAGAAUUAGAAGCUUGAAAAGUGCACAGAACUGAGACACGUUUUAUAUUAUUACAGUACUAUUUCAGGAGAAUCUACUUAUGAAGGGCCAUUCAAAUUCAAUGGAGAGCGAUAACCUCUAAAUAUCGAUUACUUGCUGGCAAAUUCUUUCCGAAGUUUUGGAAAUGAGAAAAAAAAGGUGGUAGUAAACUCUUCAAAAAAGGAAAAUGCUAACAUUACCUCAGAUAAGGGGACUAUACCUAGCACUCUGAAUGCUCCUACUCUGCAAAACUGGUGCUCGUGAGUCUAGGACCCUGAGAACUCCAAGCAGACAACUUUCUGAAUCAACAUUGUAUUUAAUAAAGAAGAAACUGCAGGUUUCUGCUACCCCAAAUAUGUUAGAACCUCUUCAAACCUCAUCUGAUUUAAAUGUUUCAAGAGUUAAAGGGGCAACAACCUGCGAAUAGUAAAGACAGAAUUAGAGAUCUAAUGUAUAUGGAAAUAUGUCAGAUUUCUCAUCUGAUAUAGAUGAGGAAGAAGGCGGGCAGUGCAUUAUUCAGUUCAAGGUCUUUGGUUUUGCUAUAUCCUAACUGUAUAUUUUUCUGUUGUCGCAGUCAUUUAGUUCAUUUCUUUUUAUGUUUUUAUAUAUUUUCAGUUCUUUUUACAUGAUCUCUAAGAAGAGAGCCGAACAAAAACACAGUGCUUGCUGUGGAGGGAAAUGUUACUAUAU